This 272-nucleotide ribosomal RNA is filed under the name uncultured bacterium. Its description in RNAcentral is "partial 16S ribosomal RNA". It matches the Rfam family "Bacterial small subunit ribosomal RNA", at positions 338 to 606 of the family's 1533-position model. The record is from RNAcentral.
CCUACGGGACGCAGCAGUGAGGAAUAUUGGUCAAUGGGCGCGAGCCUGAACCAGCCAAGUCGCGUGAGGGAAGACGGUCCUAUGGAUUGUAAACCUCUUUUGUCGGGGAGCAAAAAGGCCUCGUGAGGUCACAAGUGAGAGUACCCGAAGAAAAAGCAUCGGCUAACUCCGUGCCAGCAGCCGCGGUAAUACGGAGGAUGCGAGCGUUAUCCGGAUGUAUUGGGUUUAAAGGGUGCGUAGGCGGACUGGAAAGUCAGCGGUAAAAUCGAGAG